GUAUUUGGACCACGCACAGAGCAGGCCCAGCGGCCUGCUGAGGGGCAGAGCUGCCCCCCACCCCCCGCGCCUGUCAGGUAGGUGGAACUGUGACCACGGACAGAAAAGGCCCAGGGGCCCGCGGCGGGACAGAGCUUCCAAUCACUCCUGCAAGGUAGGCGGGCCUGCGACCCACCGGCAGAAGAGGAGCAGCGUCCUGCUGAGAGGCUGAGCAGCCCCCUCCCCCUGCACCGGCAAAGUAGAGGGAACUGUGACCACGCACAGAGCAGGCCCAGCGGCCUGCUGAGGGGCAGAGCCGCCCCCCACCCCCCGCGCCUGCCAGGUAGGUGGAACUGUGACCACGGACAGAAAAGGCCCAGGGGCCCGCGGCGGGACAGAGCUUCCAAU
This 387-nucleotide long non-coding RNA is filed under the name Marmota monax (woodchuck). The record is from RNAcentral. Lineage: Eukaryota; Metazoa; Chordata; Mammalia; Rodentia; Sciuridae.